GACAGAGGAGCCAAGCGUUGUCCGGAUUGACUGGGCGUAAAGCGCACGCAGGCGGCUGGGCGCGUGCGGUGUGAAAGCGGGGGGCUUAACCCCCUGAGGCCACCGCAUACGGCCCGGCUCGAGGCAGGCAGAGGUUCGUGGAAUUGCCGGUGUAGUGGUGAAAUGCGUAGAGAUCGGCAGGAACACCAAGGGGGAAACCAGCGAACUGGGCCUGACCUGACGCUCAGGUGCGAAAGCGUGGGGAGCGAACCGG
RNAcentral lists this ribosomal RNA (253 nucleotides) under uncultured bacterium. Its description in RNAcentral is "partial 16S ribosomal RNA". It matches the Rfam family "Bacterial small subunit ribosomal RNA", at positions 524 to 776 of the family's 1533-position model. The record is from RNAcentral.